Molecule: small nucleolar RNA, 129 nt
Organism: Cuculus canorus (common cuckoo)
Lineage: Eukaryota; Metazoa; Chordata; Aves; Cuculiformes; Cuculidae
Source: Rfam
CUGGCCCUGAAUCAAGGCCGUCGGUUUGCCGUAGCCGUUGGUUUCAAACAGGAGCCCAAAGGAAACAUCUCUUGGUCUGUUGGCUCUCCUGUCUCCAUGGAAUAGCCAAUUCGUUUGGGAGUGACAAAA